This 72-nucleotide transfer RNA is filed under the name Cavia porcellus (domestic guinea pig). It matches the Rfam family "tRNA". Rfam says of the family: Transfer RNA (tRNA) molecules are approximately 80 nucleotides in length. Their secondary structure includes four short double-helical elements and three loops (D, anti-codon, and T loops). Lineage: Eukaryota; Metazoa; Chordata; Mammalia; Rodentia; Caviidae. The record is from Rfam by way of RNAcentral.
CUGGGGACAACUCAGUGGUGCAGUGCCUGCCUGGCAAGCAGGACAUCUUGAGUUUGAUUCCCAUUACCCACA